CCCAUAAACCAACCGACUAAAAUGUUCAGACUUUAAAAAAAAACCUAAUUAAAUAACAAAUAAAAUAAAAGAAUCAUAAAAACCAACCGUCAUUUCCCCAGUCACUUCAAACAGCCUGUAUCCAUUACUCUUUUAGACUUUUCAUUUCAAAAGAACAUCAGGUCUGUUUCAAAAAGAUAGCAACAACUUCCAAGAAAUCUCCUUCAUUGCUUUCUUUUACCGUUUCAUUUUGUCUUCCUCUUCUCUUUUCAAACUGGAUUUUGUGCUCGUCUUUCUUUUGGAACUAUCAGGUAUACCUCUUCCCCUUUUGUAAGUGCAUCUUUUGCGAGAGUAUGAGCUUGGCCAUUUUCUGUUCUUUGAAUAAAUCUGAAAGUAAUUUUCUGGAAACGAGACCUAUUACUCUGAAUAUCAUGAAUAAUCGUCCCGAUAACAGAUUUGUCCCUUGUUGUUGAUUGACAUUUGUGAAUAACUAUUUUCGGAUCCCCCAUAAUCGUGACUGAGUCUAUCCCCAUGCUGAUACCUAACUUGGUUGCCUCCAAACAUGCAUAUGCUUCGGCAACAAAUGGAGAUGAAAUGUUGAAGUGCAAAGUUGACUUUAAGGCUCUAAUCACACCAUCUUGAUCCCGAACAAUCAUUCCUGAUGCCGAUCUAAAGUUCCUGAUAUCAAAGGCUGCAUCAAACUGUAUUAUCUCCCUUGAUGUAUCUUUGUCUUAUCCUGCAGCUUCAGUAGACGCGUAAGAAAUCCUACUUCCCCUACUUCCUUCAAGUUCCCUUAGAUAACUCUGUAUUUUCUGUGAAAGAUCUAAUCCUGAUAUGGCUUUCUUCUCAUGUAUCAUCUGAUUCCGCGAGCCCCAUAAAACCCAUAGAGCACAACAAAACAAUCGAGUCUGCUCCUUUGUUCCUUUAUCAAAGACCCAGGUGAGCCAACUCCAGAUAUUCUGACUUGCAUAUUCUGUUACCCACGUCAUAUUGAGUCUAAUCCAUACUUCCAUGCUUACAGGACAUUUUCGAAACACAUGAUGGCUAUCUUCCUCCUCAGAUUCGCAACGAGGGCAUCUGGAGUUUGCAGUUACUCUUUUAUACUUCAGAUUAGCCAUGGAUGGGAUAUAGUUCCAGGAAAUCCUCCAUAUGAGGAUUAAAAUCUUUUGUGGUAGUUGUAAAUUCCAUAGGUUAUUGUAAAAUUCUUUAGUUUCGGUCUGUACUAAAUAACUAUUAGGCUCCAGACUAGCUUCUUGUAAUAGUUUGUAUGCACUCCAAACUGAGGACUCACCUGAUUGUUCACCUUUCCACACCUGCAUGUCUUCACAGUCUGUUCUUGCUAGAGGAAUCUGCAAAAUUCUCUGGGCGACUUCCCUUUGGAAGGUAGUUGUAAUUGUUUCUACUUUCCACGUCUUGGUUGUGCUGUCAAUUAGGUCUGAUACUAAGUUUAACCCUUCAUUUCUUUCUCUAUUCUGCCACAUCUCAGGUUCAAUCCCUGGUAUCCAUCGAUCAUUCCAAAUGGAUAUUGCGGAACCUGCCCCCACUCUCCAUCUUAGCCCUUUGAGAAGGGUUCCUUUCGCUGCCCAAAUGCUCCUCCAGGUAAGAGAUGGUAAGUUUUCCAACUGUGCAUUUAGAUAACUUGUCCGUGGAUAAUAUUUAGCUUUAAGCACUCUUGCUGAAAGGGAAUCUGGAUAAUUUAUUAAACGCCAUCCCUGCUUGGCUAAUAAGGCGAUAUUAAACUGACUAAGCUUUUGGAAACCCAUUCCUCCGUUUUCCUUUAAAAGACAAAGGUUUUUCCACGAACACCAAUGUAUACCCCUUUUUCCACGACCUUUCUGCCACCAAUAUUUUGUAACAAUACUUUCCAGAUCUUCGCAUAUUGAUUUUGGUAAUAAAAAACAUGUCAUUGAAUAUGUCGGUAUGGCUUGAAGAACAGCUUUUAUGAAAACCUCUUUUCCCCCUUGUGACAAAAACCGAUUACUCCAAUUCUCGAUACGCUUCUUCAAUCUCUCUUUUAAGACUCCAAAAGAUUUUUUUUUCGUCCAACCAUAUUCGGCAAACCCAAAUAACGUUCCGGCUCAUCUGAACUUCGAACACCCAGCAAAUGUACAACUGAACUUCUUUCUUCCUCUGAAGUGUUUUUACUAAAGAAAACGGUAGAUUUAGCAAAAUUCACACACUGACCCGAACAUCGCUUAUACUCCUUCAGGAUCUCCUUAAUCGCUGUAGCUCCUUUUCUUGACGCUUCCCCGAAUAAAAUGCAGUCAUCUGCAAAUAAUAAGUGUGUCACAUGUGGGCCACUUCUUCUUACCUUGACUCCUUUUAUUGCCCUAUUAUUUAAAGCUAUUCUCAUGAGACUAGAUAAUCCCUCUCCACAAAUUAGAAACAGAAAUGGACUCAGUGGAUCCCCUGUCUCAGUCCCCUUUUUGGAUUGAAAAUUUCACCCAUACUACCAUUGACCACAACUUGAUAAGAGACGGUCGACAUACAAUUCAUAAGAGAAUCAAUCCAUUUUGUGGCAAAACCCAUUUUCAGCAUUAUUUCCCGAACAAAAUCCCAUUCAAUCCUAUCAUAGGCUUUACUCAUGUCAAGUUUAACUGCCAUAAAACCCUUCUUCCCUGUUCUUUUUUGUUUCAGUGUAUGUAAUAAUUCAUAGGCCAGCAAUACAUUGUCUGAAAUUAAUCUUCCCGGUAGGAAAGCACUUUGGGCAUUGUCAAUGCAUUUAUCGAUAAUCCCUCUAAAUCUAUUUGCAAUAGCCUUAGCCAUGAUUUUAUAAAUAACAUUACAUAAACUGAUUGGCCUAAAAUGUGUCAUAUUAACAGGGUCAUUAAUUUUUGUAAUAAGAACAAUAUGCGUUAAAUUGAUUGAACUAACCUCCAUUCCCCCAUUUAAAUGAAGUAAACAAAAUGCCAUAACCUCCUCUCCAAUGAAGUGCCAACAUUUUUUAUAAAAUAGAGCCGGGAAACCAUCUUCACCGGGAGCCUUGGUGGGAUGAAUUUUAAAUAAUGCCUCUCUAACCUCUUCUUUCGUAUAUGGUUCUAUAAGCUUUCGGUUAUCUUCUUCACAAACACAUCGAUCAAUUCUCGUAAGUAAAUUAUCAAAAUUCGCUUGGUUUGCUGUAUUAAAUAAGUUUUGAAAGUAGGACCGUGCUAUGCUUCCCAUUUCUUGAAGGUCGUCUGUUACCACUCCGCAAUCGCUUUGUAAUUGUGUAUCGUAUUUUUCCUCUUCCUUUGCGUUGCUUGACUGUGAAAGAAGGCUGUAUUCCUGUCACCUAGCCUUAGCCAAUUUUGUCUUGCCCUUUGUUCCCAGUAUCUUUCAUCCUUUUCAAUUUCAAAAUUUAAAUGAAUCUUUGUAUCAAUUAGCUCAGCCAUAUUACUAUCGUCCUUUUUCCUCUUCCAUCAGUUUUAAUAGCUUUGUUGAUAAAAGAUCAUUUUUCCCCUGCUUCCUUUUCCUUACUCGUCUCGCCCAGUCUUCCAGUCCUGCUCUCAAGCUUUCCAAUUUCUGUAAAAAACUCCCAGAAGCUGUUUCCCAUAUAUGUUUGGCUUCAUCCAGAAAAGAGUCUUCCAAUAUCCACCAGGCUUCAAAUUUGAAAUGACUUUUCGGUUUUCGUUUAUCUUCUUUAGCUGUGUUAAUUAAUAAAGGACAGUGAUCAGAGAAAGAGUGAACCAGAUGUUGAACCUUCACCAUAGGGAACAUAGAGAUCCAAUUUUCGUUUGCUACACCCUUAUCCAGUCGUUCUUGUAUGCAUGUUUUCGGUAGAUUGCCUCUUUCCCAUGUAAACCAUCUACCAGAAUAUCCCACAUCAGUCAACUGGCAAAAUUCUAAAGUUUCACGGAACAUCUCCAUUCUUUUUUCAUCUCUCAGCAAACCUCCUUUUUUUCAAAGCCAUACAUAAUCUCAUUAAAAUCUCCACACACAAACCAGGGGAUUUUUUCAUUUUUCCAGAGACUUUUCAGCACUGCCCAUGAAUCUUCUCUAUCGUGCGCAUAUGGUGACCCAUAAAACCCAGUAAGUCGCCAUGAAGUAUCUCUUUCAUCAUCAGCCACCAUCACAUCAAUAUGUCUUUUAGAGAAAUUCUGGAGCGUAACAUUAAUAUCAUUUUGCCAUGCCAAACACAACCCUCCUCUAGUACCCUCUGAAUCCACCUCUAUACCAUUCGCAAAACCACAUCUACGACGAAUUCUUUCCAUCCGAUUUCUAUAAAGCUUGGUCUCCAUAAAGAAGACAAUUUGGGGAUUAUAAUUCUUCAGCGAAUGCUGAAGUCUUCGAACUGUCCGUGGAUUCCCCAAUCCACGGACAUUCCAACUUAGUAUUUUCAUUGAAUUCGGUCGGCUUUCCAUUUGGCAACCGCCGAUGUUAAAUGAUUGAUUUCCACCACUUUCCUGCUUUUUACCAUCAAACUGUCAUUCUCUUCUCUUCUUGCACAAUCUUCAAUUUCCCUUCUAGAUCUCUUUUUUCCUUCCUCCCCUAUAAUAGCAACUUCCUCCAAAUCAUGUUCCAUCAUAAUACUCGUGCCAUUUCCUUUUCCUUGGCCUACGCAGCAUAUACCUCCUUCCAGAUUAAGACCAAGGAUUGGAUCAACAAUCUUCCCAAAUCUUGAUUUUCCCCCUAUCUUCUGUUGCUCCAUUCGGACAUCUGUAUUUUCUUCACCAAGACCUCCACUAUCAUCAUCUGUUUCCUCCCGUAACCAGAUACUCUUCAUUGAUAGUGACCUUUGGGAUUGUGCUCUGAUAGAAAGAUCCCAUCCCAAAUCUGCGAUCUCUACUCCAAUCUUCAUAUGGCCCAGUCUUCCACAGAAAAAACAAAAGAGUGACAAUCUUUCAUACUUAAAAGUGACGUAUGAACGUCUCUCCCCAUAUAAAAUUUGUUUCCUCCUUUUCAAAGGAUGCCUUACAUCAAUUUGGACCCUAAUUCUCAUAAAGUUCCUAUUUUCUUUCCCCAAGUUUGCGACGUCAUAUUCCAAAAAAUUCCCCAAAAAAUUCCCCAUCUGCGUAGCUAAAUUUUCAGAAUAUAGGCCAAUUGGCACUUCAUGGAUCUGAACCCAGAAAGGUGUGAAAACUAAAGGGACUUGUAGCGGAUCCUCUCCAACUUUCAAUUUGUAAAGAAUCAGCAGAUGGUUGUUAAAGGUCCAAGGUGAACCCUUUAACACCCUGUCCAUAUCCAUAGCAUGAAAAAAUUGAAACAAAAACCUUCUUUCCCCCAAAUCUCGAAUUCGAACACCCCGAACCGGAUGCCACAAGUUUGCCAUUGUACUUUUCAUAGCAGAAAAAUGAAUCAUACUAGUUGUCAAAAAACAUCCCACAAGUUGAAAAAACUCACCCUCUUUUUCCCGAUUUGGAUCUAUUGGUAUGAGAAUAGCAUCAUCUUCUUCCUCAUUGAUUGACAAGUGGGCUAAUUCAUUCUCCAUCUUUUCCAGGUCACUACUAUGGAUCCACUUCCUGAUGCGAUAGGAAAAACAACUGGGAAACACAGAAAUCAAAGAACAAAAGUUCCACACGAACAAGAAAAACAAAUACUUCUACUAGCGGCGGUAGACAAAGAAACGUGCUAGGGUAGCAGACUUAAAACAACCUUUAUAUAUACUUAUUAAUUAAGUAAACAUAUUUUAUUAUAAUAUAUAUUAAAUUUAUAAAUAUCUUACCUUAUGCCGCCUCAUUAAAGAACAAUGGCAUAAUUGCUUUUUUAGUCCCUUUAAUUUUUCUUUAAUCUAUAAUUUAACUUUCACCCUAUAUGCAAUUUAGUUAUUAUACCUAAUU
RNAcentral lists this long non-coding RNA (5735 nucleotides) under Gossypium barbadense (sea-island cotton). RNAcentral describes it as "long non-coding RNA (GBAR_LNC014448)". The record is from RNAcentral. Lineage: Eukaryota; Viridiplantae; Streptophyta; Magnoliopsida; Malvales; Malvaceae.